Molecule: ribosomal RNA, 288 nt
Filed under: Salmonella enterica
Lineage: Bacteria; Pseudomonadati; Pseudomonadota; Gammaproteobacteria; Enterobacterales; Enterobacteriaceae
Description: partial 16S ribosomal RNA
Rfam family: Bacterial small subunit ribosomal RNA
Source: RNAcentral
CGAGAGCAAGCGGACCUCAUAAAGUGCGUCGUAGUCCGGAUUGGAGUCUGCAACUCGACUCCAUGAAGUCGGAAUCGCUAGUAAUCGUGGAUCAGAAUGCCACGGUGAAUACGUUCCCGGGCCUUGUACACACCGCCCGUCACACCAUGGGAGUGGGUUGCAAAAGAAGUAGGUAGCUUAACCUUCGGGAGGGCGCUUACCACUUUGUGAUUCAUGACUGGGGUGAAGUCGUAACAAGGUAACCGUAGGGGAACCUGCGGUUGGAUCACCUCCUUACCUGAAAGAAGC